GGCUGGUCUUGAACUCCUGGCCUCAAGUGAUCCUCCUGCCUCGGCCUCCCAAAAUGUUGGGAUUACAGGUGUGAGUUGCUGUGCCCGGCCCUGAUACACAUUCUUUCUCUAAGCCAUAGACAGUAGGAUAGUAGAACCGACCAUCAGCAGGAUGUGUUGCCACAGAAGAAAUCGAUAUUGUGCUAGACUUCAUAUCAGGAAGCUGAGUACAGAUGGACUGACUCUCAUCAAUAAACGCCAUGGGAACACAAACCAGGUCAACAGUGGGGUGAGAUCAACGAACGCUGCUGUUGUUAUUUAUGAUAUGGAGCUGGUAUGACUCUAGGUCUGGUUGAACUCUUACCUCUAGUCUGGAGGGUAUAGAGGUCAUGCAUGAUUUAAUGCAGGUCAUGGCCAUUUCCAGGGAGAAGAGCAGCCCACGAAC
Homo sapiens (human) is the source of this 424-nucleotide long non-coding RNA. RefSeq lists it as uncharacterized. The transcript is spliced from 3 exons. The record is from RefSeq and is a predicted model, not a curated record. NCBI's taxonomy places the organism in Eukaryota, Metazoa, Chordata, Mammalia, Primates, Hominidae.